AUGCGCAUGUGCACGACUUCCCAGGCGGCCACCGCGGCCGCUGAGCAGCUGCCUUGUUGCCCCGGGAGGCUCCCUUCCAGUAAUGCAGGGGAAGAGUCUGUAACACAUCGCAGUGACACGCAGGGCAACAUAAGAUGCUCCUCGAGAAGACAGUGGUCAGCCCUCAGGGAUAAAUCUGAAUCAUUAUCAUAUGUUAAACGAUACACAGCACAUGAAAAUAAUCUAUGAGAGAAAGAAAACAAGUGAAGUGAUCUCUCUGAUUACUCAGGCUUAGCAUCUAGAUGCAGCUUCCAUGCAUCAGUGGUGGGAAACAGCUGUCGUACCACUGAAAAAAGAAGAUAAAGAUUUGCAUCAGGGAGGCCAAGGUGGAUGCAUGUAUCUGGGCAUGUCUCAGAGAAAACAACCCGAGGCCAAGGAUAAAACCAAAGGAAAGUAGUAAGUCAAAUAAGUCCCAGAGAUUCACAGGUCUUGUAAGAGACUGCUUUCACAUUUCAAACAGUGAGAAUCUAUAAUACGCAGUGUAUUAGUUAAUACACCCUCACAUGUGUCUAAGCUUGGUAGUGGGACUAAAAUACCUUUAAGCUAAAAAUAAGCAAGACCUCUAAGACUUCACUGUAAUGAAGCCUAAAAGCCAAUCAUAACACACACACACACACACACACACACACACACACACACACCACACACACUCAAAUAACUUUGUAUCAUAUGUUGGAUAUCAUUUAAAGGAAUGCAACAAAAUUCAGCAUCUAAUAAUAUAAAAUUGGUAAUUCCUGGCAUUCAGGAUAGAACUAUCAGGGACACAGAACAGCAGGAUAUUAUGACUCAUGAUCAAGAAAACAAAAAACAAAUCAUUAGACACAUACAAAUUAAGUGAUGAUAUAAAUAGAAGACAAGGAUAUUAAAGCAUAAUAUUCCUGAUAUGUUCAAUAAUUUAUAAAAAAAUAUCUUUGAUAAAGAGAAAUGUAUAAGAAAAUUCAAAUGGAACUUCUGGAGUUGAAAAAUGAUGUAUCUGCAAAAAAAAUACAAUAGAUGGGGACACCUGGGUGGCUCAGUUGGUUGUAUCUGACUCUCAAUUUCGGCUCAUGUCAUAGUCUCAGGGUCAUGAGAUCUAGUCCUGUGUCAGGAUCUGCUGUAUGCAUGGAGCCUGAUUAAGAUUCUCUCUCUUCCUCUCCUUCUGUCCCUGCUUCCCUUCCACACUUAUCUUGCUCUUUCUUUUUCUCAAAAACAACAACAACAACAAAAUAGAUGAAAUAAGAGAUUAGUCACUGCAGAAUGAAAAUAUUAGGGAACUUGAAAAUAGAGCACGGGAAGAGCUUCAGUGACUUGUGUGACAAUAUUAUACAGUCUUCCAUAUGUAUAAACUGAAGAGAAAAAAAUUAAAUAAUGGCUAAAUGCUUUCCUACAGUAGCAAAAAAUAUAAAUCCAUAGAUACAAUAAUUUUAGUGUGAAUAACUUUCAAAUUAUGAAAAAUGAGAGGAGUUAGAAAAAAGAUUAUAUACCAUAGAAUUUACAUAAUGUAAAAAUAUUGUUUAAGUACGUAGAUCAAUGGAUGCCCUAGAUUGGUGGAUGGUUUUUAUUUUUUUAUUUUUAUUUUUUUAAAGAUUUUAUUUAUUUAUUCAUGGGAAAGAGAGAGAGAGAGAGAGAGAGAGAGAGAGAGAGGGGCAGAGACACAGGCAGAGGAAGAAGCAGGCUCCAUGCAAGGAGCCCAAAGUGAGACUCGAUCCGGGUCUUCAGGAUCCUGCCCUGGGCUGAAGGCAGCGCUAAACCGCUGAGCCACCUGGGUUGCCCUGGUAGAUGGUUUUUCAAAGGAAAUUGACUGUCAAGGUAUAUGAGACAACUUUCUACAGUUGUAGAAAUAAUAUGUAGUAUGAUUUUAUGAUGGAUAUUACUGUGUAUAUUUGUCAACAUUAAAGAAGUUUGUGAAUUUUUUUUAAGUUUGUGAAUUUUAAUAAACUUAAAUGAUGCCCA
RNAcentral lists this long non-coding RNA (1971 nucleotides) under Vulpes vulpes (red fox). RNAcentral's name for it is "lncRNA (ENSVVUG00000025872.1)". The record is from RNAcentral. Lineage: Eukaryota; Metazoa; Chordata; Mammalia; Carnivora; Canidae.